CUUAAGGUGGCAGAUUAGUGCAGUAGAUUUAAGCUCUAAAUAUGAAGAUUAAAGUUCUUUCCUUAGUA
RNAcentral lists this transfer RNA (68 nucleotides) under Tegula lividomaculata. Its description in RNAcentral is "tRNA-Leu". It matches the Rfam family "tRNA". From Rfam's summary of the family: Transfer RNA (tRNA) molecules are approximately 80 nucleotides in length. The record is from RNAcentral. Lineage: Eukaryota; Metazoa; Mollusca; Gastropoda; Trochida; Tegulidae.